Molecule: ribosomal RNA, 463 nt
Filed under: uncultured bacterium
Lineage: Bacteria
Description: bacterial SSU rRNA
Rfam family: Bacterial small subunit ribosomal RNA
Source: RNAcentral
GAUGAACGCUAGCGGCGUGCCUAACACAUGCAAGUCGAACGUGAGAGGGUACUUGUAUCCUUGAAAGUGGCGGACGGGUGAGUAAGACGUAGGUGACCUGCCUUGAAGUGGGGGGAUAACCAUUGGAAACGAUGGCUAAUACCGCAUAAGCUGGUGACGAUGGGAAUCGUUAUCAGGAAAGCUUUAGUGCUUUGAGAGGGGGCCUACGGCCGAUUAGCUAGUUGGUGAGGUAAAGGCUCACCAAGGCGAUGAUCGGUAGCUGGUCUGAGAGGACGAUCAGCCACACGGGAACUGAGACACGGUCCCGACUCCUACGGGAGGCAGCAGUAAGGAAUAUUCGGCAAUGGGGGCAACCCUGACCGAGCAACGCCGCGUGGAGGAUGACGGUUUUCGGAUUGUAAACUCCUUUUCUCAGGGAAGAGCGAGGACGGUACCUGAGGAAUAAGUCACGGCUAACUACGUG